AGUAGUAAGUGUAGCACAACAAAAGAGUGCAUUUGUAUUUAUAGAUGCAGAGAACAAUCACUUUUUGUUUAUCUUCAUAUUAUAAGCGUAGAACAUGUCUAUUUAUACUACCAACACGUAUGUAAAUAUAUGUGUCUGUAUGCCUGCAAUAUAAUAUGGAAUCGAAUUACAGAAAGUAAAUGAUACAACGGUAAACGCGGAGGGAAUGUGACACCCUGUAUAUAACAUGAAAAUGGAUCAAGCACUUACCGAUGCAACACAGGUGACGGAUAGUAACACAGACUUCCAUUGCGCAUUUGUUUGCGCACUACAUAU
RNAcentral lists this long non-coding RNA (315 nucleotides) under Agrilus planipennis (emerald ash borer). Its description in RNAcentral is "uncharacterized LOC108733255, transcript variant X2". Lineage: Eukaryota; Metazoa; Arthropoda; Insecta; Coleoptera; Buprestidae. The record is from RNAcentral.